Molecule: ribosomal RNA, 492 nt
Filed under: uncultured bacterium
Lineage: Bacteria
Description: partial 16S ribosomal RNA
Rfam family: Bacterial small subunit ribosomal RNA
Source: RNAcentral
AAUGAACGCUGGCGGUAGGCCUAACACAUGCAAGUCGAACGGCAGCACAGUAAGAGCUUGCUCUUACGGGUGUCGAGUGGCGGACGGGUGAGGAAUACAUCGGAAUCUACUUUUUCGUGGGGGAUAACGUAGGGAAACUUACGCUAAUACCGCAUACGACCUACGGGGGAAAGCAGGGGAUCUUCGGACCUUGCGCGAGGGAAUGAGCCGAUGUAGGAUUAGCUAGUUGGCGGGGUAAAGGCCCACCAAGGCGACGAUCCGUAGCUGGUCUGAGAGGAUGAUCAGCCACACUGGAACUGAGACACGGUCCAGACUCCUACGGGAGGCAGCAGUGGGGAAUAUUGGACAAUGGGCGCAAGCCUGAUCCAGCCAUACCGCGUGGGUGAAGAAGGCCUUCGGGUUGUAAAGCCCUUUUGUUGGGAAAGAAAAGCAGCAGGUUAAUACCCCGCUGUUCUGACGGUACCCAAAGAAUAAGCACCGGCUAACUUCGUG